GGACUACACGGGUUUCUAAUCCCGUUCGCUCCCCUAGCUUUCGCACCUGAGCGUCAGGUUCCAGCCAGGACACUGCCUUCGCCUUUGGUAUUCCUCCGGAUAUCUACGCAUUUCACCACUACACCCGGAAUUCUGUGUCCCUCUCUGGUCCUCAAGUCUUGCCGUCUUCGGAACGCUCCUCCAGUGAAGCCGGAGGCUGUCACUCCAAACGCGCAAAACCGCCUGCGUGCGCUUUACGCCCAAUAAAUCCGGACAACGCUCGCCCCCUACGUAUUACCGCGGCUGCUGGCAC
This 292-nucleotide ribosomal RNA is filed under the name uncultured bacterium. RNAcentral describes it as "partial 16S ribosomal RNA". The record is from RNAcentral.